RNAcentral lists this ribosomal RNA (424 nucleotides) under uncultured bacterium. Its description in RNAcentral is "bacterial SSU rRNA". It matches the Rfam family "Bacterial small subunit ribosomal RNA", at positions 355 to 796 of the family's 1533-position model. The record is from RNAcentral.
UGGGGAAUCUUGCACAAUGGGGGCAACCCUGAUGCAGCGACGCCGCGUGAGCGAUGAAGCCCUUCGGGGUGUAAAGCUCUUUCGACCGGAACGAUAAUGACGGUACCGGGAGAAGAAGCUGCGGCUAACUACGUGCCAGCAGCCGCGGUAAUACGUAGGCAGCAAGCGUUGUUCGGAGUUACUGGGCGUAAAGAGUGCGUAGGCGGUGGCCUAAGUUCGGUGUGAAAUCUCCCGGCUUAACUGGGAGGGUGCGCCGGAAACUGGGCUGCUGGAGUGUGGGAAAGGCAAGCGGAAUUCCUGGUGUAGCGGUGAAAUGCGUAGAUAUCAGGAGGAACACCGGCGGUGUAGACGGCUUGCUAGACCAUAACUGACGCUGAGGCACGAAAGCGUGGGUAGCAAACAGGAUUAGAUACCCCGGUAGUCC